Molecule: ribosomal RNA, 302 nt
Filed under: uncultured bacterium
Lineage: Bacteria
Description: partial 16S ribosomal RNA
Rfam family: Bacterial small subunit ribosomal RNA
Source: RNAcentral
GCAGUCGCCGCGGUAAUACCGAGGGUGCAAGCGUUAAUCGGAAUUACUGGGCGUAAAGCGCGCGUAGGUGGUUUGUUAAGUUGGAUGUGAAAUCCCCGGGCUCAACCUGGGAACUGCAUCCAAAACUGGCAAGCUAGAGUAUGGUAGAGGGUGGUGGAAUUUCCUGUGUAGCGGUGAAAUGCGUAGAUAUAGGAAGGAACACCAGUGGCGAAGGCGACCACCUGGACUGAUACUGACACUGAGGUGCGAAAGCGUGGGGAGCAAACAGGAUUAGAUACCCCAGUAGUCCCUGUCUCUUAUAC